This is a long non-coding RNA of Oreochromis niloticus (Nile tilapia), 2713 nucleotides long. RefSeq lists it as uncharacterized. The transcript is spliced from 3 exons. NCBI's taxonomy places the organism in Eukaryota, Metazoa, Chordata, Actinopteri, Cichliformes, Cichlidae. The record is from RefSeq and is a predicted model, not a curated record.
CUUUGAUCUGCGUCCUCAUCUGGACUCUCCUCUGCUGCUGCUUCACAGAGUCCAGAGGACAGAUCACAGUGACUCAGCCUGGAGCAGAGAGCUCUGCUGCGGGAGGAACUGUGAGCAACAAAUGUAGGACCAGUCAGGAUGUUUCUAAUUCUAACCGUUUAGCCUGGUACCAACAGAAAGAUGGAGGAGUUCCUAAACUGCUCAUUUAUGCUGCUAGCUAUCGAGCAUCAGGGAUUCCAGCUCGUUUUACAGGCAGUGGAUCAAACUCUGACUUCACUCUGACCAUCAGUGGAGUCCAGGCUGAAGAUGCAGCAGUUUAUUACUGUAUGGGUGAAUUUGAUUCUAACUCUUGGGAGCUCUUCACACAGUGAAUAACAGUCGUACAAAAACUUCCCUCAGUCAGACUGAACAGAAACUGCAGUAACUUCCAGCUGCAGCAGAGACUGACACAGUUCAAUGAGCACAAACACAAUUUCAUGAAGGCACUGAAUUUUUCAUCAUAUCACCUGAAAAUCAAAAGUUCACUCUUAAAUGAUUAUUAUGGUGGAAACUUCUUUCUACCCACUCAAAACUCAGGAAAUGUCAAACUGACACAGUUGUUUCUGUGAAUCUUUGAGCAGUUAGAAGAUGCUUGAUCAUGAACUUUGACCUCAGCUUCAUAAUGGAUCACAGACACACUGUCUUUAAAUAAAAGAAACAAAUCUCAACACUCAGUCACCCUGAAGCUCAACGAUUUCUGAAGAUUAUUAAAAUGAUUCGUUUUAAGAAAACAAAGACUGAUCUCAGUCAGUUCAGUGUCAGCGUGGUUCUCCAGGUGUCCCUUUAAUAAAUAAAUCCAAUUUUAAAGGGAAAAAUAAUUUUUUUAAUUCCAAAAAUCAAAUCCGUUUAAAGUAAAAUAUAUCCAGUUUUACAUUCAGCUCUUAUGAGACCAGAGUUUUUCAGUUUUUUCUCAUCUUCAUGUUCAGACAUCAAACAUUUGAAAGUGAGGCCUUUAGCCUGCAUGUUAGCAGCUUUCAGCCAAUCAGAGCAGAGUUCAGGAUGAAUAAAGUCCCUUAGUGCAUUAGUGUGAACUCAUCUGCCUUCUGCAAAGAGGACACCUUCUGUUCAUUUAGAUCAGCCACAGAAGAACUCAGGCACACAUUUCAUAAACAGCUUCACUAUCAUUAGCUCACACACUGAUGCUAAAUCAGUAGCAUUUCAAGCCAAGCAGCCAUCAACAAGAAUUCCUGUCACUCCGCUGAAGUCAGAAUUAGUCUCAUGUGAUGUUUUCUUUAGGCUUCCAAAUUUCUGUUGAUAAGCUCAUAAGUUCACACAAUUCUACCUUUGAGUCCGCCCAGGAGUCUUGAUAAAGUAAUAUGUUCUGUUGGUACUGUUGGUUGCGCUCUUUCUCCUUUCUUUCUCCGUCUCCCUGUGUGUUUAUGUUUGUUUGCACUCCCGGAUUUUUUGGGUCGCCGGAGGGAUCACGACCCCGGAAGUGUUCCCACGGUGGAGGCAGCCACACCUGCCGCUCGUUACUGGCAGCCGGCUGCAGCAGAUUACGCUCAUCGGGAGUGCGGUAUUUAAGUGUGUGGAUCCAGUCGGUGUGGGGUUCUUAACAACAAAAACUGUUGAGUGCAACUGUAGACAAGCUAGUGGGAAUGACCUCGCUACUGUGGAUUCCCUGCUGAGCUGUUUUGUCUGUUUGCCACCAGGAAUCGGGAGCCGAGUCCCGGAUUGGAAUUGGGGUUUUUGGAGUUGUCACUUUUCACUGUUUAUGGACACUUGCACUGUGUGUGGAUUCAGCGAGAAUCGCCACGAGAGCCACAGUGCUGAAUUCUGGACAUUAUUGUGGUUUUUUCACUCACUGUUCACCUGCACCCGAGUCCUGCAUUUGGGUCCUCCUUUUCCACAACUCCACAUCUGUCAUCACAGUCCGUGACAUUGAUGGGAUGUUAAAAACAGAUCAUGUAUUCAUAUUACUUAUUGAGGAAACAAUAAGUGUGCGUCUGAGCUGAUUGGAAGGUAGAAAACUAGAUUAGAGGCAGAUUAGAAACUAGAAAGGAUUGGGGUAGUGAAAUUAAUUUUUUAAUUACCUCUGUAAAUGUCACGGCCGGAGGGAUCGACGAGACGCUGAUCGGCCUUUUCUGUCUUUCUCUCUCUCUCGUGCUCUCUCUCUCUCCUCCUCUCUGUCGCCGGGGCGGAACUCAUUGUGGGUUCACGCCCUCGGCCCACGCCCACGGAGAAGAACACACCUGACGCCCAUCUAGGUGAACGGCAUUUAAGCCAGGAGGUGACUGCUGGUCUUUGCUGGAUUGUUGUCUGCCACGUACCUCCUGGAUUACCCCUCUCGUAUGAAUCUGUGUGUCAAGUGUGAAAGAAGAGGACUGCCGUCAUGUAUGUGGAGAGUUGGAGAACGAGUGAUUUUCCCCCUUGGAUUUCCCUGGAGCCCGUCCCUCACAUUUCUGUAUAUAGCACUACCCUGCACUCUCUGUAUAUACACCUUGGUGACCUCUGUAAAUAAAUCCUUGUGUUCAGCUGAUUCAGGAGUUCCGCGUUUGAGUCCCCUGCAUUGAACCUUAACAGUAAAUCCUUCCCCUCACAUUCGUCUGGAAUAAUCAGGCCCCAUCUCAUCUAAAUGAACCCAUAGCAUCAUAUCACCCCAUUAGAGCACUUCGCUCUCACACUGCAGGCCUACUUUUUGUUCCUAGAGUAUUUAAAAGUAGAAUGGGAGGCA